This 71-nucleotide transfer RNA is filed under the name Moringua microchir (lesser thrush eel). RNAcentral describes it as "tRNA-Trp". It matches the Rfam family "tRNA". From Rfam's summary of the family: Transfer RNA (tRNA) molecules are approximately 80 nucleotides in length. Their secondary structure includes four short double-helical elements and three loops (D, anti-codon, and T loops). Further hydrogen bonds mediate the characteristic L-shaped molecular structure. tRNAs have two regions of fundamental functional importance: the anti-codon, which is responsible for specific mRNA codon recognition, and the 3' end, to which the tRNAs corresponding amino acid is attached (by aminoacyl-tRNA synthetases). tRNAs cope with the degeneracy of the genetic code in two manners: having more than one tRNA (with a specific anti-codon) for a particular amino acid; and 'wobble' base-pairing, i.e. permitting non-standard base-pairing at the 3rd anti-codon position. Lineage: Eukaryota; Metazoa; Chordata; Actinopteri; Anguilliformes; Moringuidae. The record is from RNAcentral.
AGAGAUUUAGGAUAAACAUAGACCAAAAGCCUUCAAAGCUUUAAGCAGGAGUGAGAACCUCCUAAUCUCUG